This is a long non-coding RNA of Oncorhynchus kisutch (coho salmon), 795 nucleotides long. RefSeq lists it as uncharacterized. Lineage: Eukaryota; Metazoa; Chordata; Actinopteri; Salmoniformes; Salmonidae. The record is from RefSeq and is a predicted model, not a curated record. The transcript is spliced from 4 exons.
CCUGAACAUCUCAAUUCAUAGAUUUAGCUUGGCCAAUGAUAUCCCUCUUCUGGAUGGAUUGGGCCAAUGCCGUAGCUCAGAUUGGUGUCCAUGGCGGUGUGAGAAAGGGCGUGCUUUCCCUAUUUAAGCCUACACCCAGACGUUGUACCUGUAACGGACAUUCUCACCGCACAUCCCCGUACCAGCUUCUCGCGGAACCAGAACGUACCAGUACACGUUCCUGUAUACCAGAACCAGUGAAUUGCAGCAGACCUGAGUGCUUGGACAUCAUCUAAGAUGGGCGACAACAACCCAGUGAAGCAGGGAGUGGAGACCUUUGACAAGAAGUGUCUAAAGAAGACCAGUACUGCUGAGAAGAACACUCUGCCAACCAAGGAGGAUAUCGAGCAGGAGAAGAAAGCUGAAGGAGGCUCCAAAUGAAACACCAGGCUUCCUCUCCUCCAGUCGUCGUUCUCUCUUCUCCUCCUUUUAAGAAACAUGUCUAUCAUCUCUUCUUCUGCUUCUUUGCGUUUCACCAUGUUAAUGAAUCACAAUGGCAUUGACUCUGAUGCUGUGGGGUUAGGGGUGCAUGAUUAGUAAAGGGAAGGCCAGUACGAUUGGAUGGAUAAGAUAUGGUGUUUGUUGAAAAAAAGGAAGAACUGAGCAUGUUGUGUUUGUGUCAAUGACAUAUAAUACUGUCACCAUCAACAGUCAACUAUGCCCAAUGUUCUGCCUGUACACAGUGCCAUUCUGGAUAAGUUCUGUAACAAUAACAUGAGAGAAGAUAUUUUUGUUUUAAUAAAAUGAGUGUUUUAG